UACGUAGGGGGCGAGCGUUGUCCGAAGUUACUGGGCGUAAAGCGCGCGUAGGCGGUUAUUUAAGUUCGGGGUGAAAGGUUCAACGCUCAACGUGAACAGUGCCUUGAAUACUGGGUGACUUGAGUUCGGGAGAGGGCAGUGGAAUUCCUGGUGUAGCGGUGAAAUGCGUAGAUAUCAGGAGGAACACCGAUGGCGAAGGCAGCUGCCUGGCCUAGAACUGACGCUGAGGUGCGAAAGCGUGGGGAGCGAACAGG
Molecule: ribosomal RNA, 254 nt
Filed under: uncultured bacterium
Lineage: Bacteria
Description: partial 16S ribosomal RNA
Rfam family: Bacterial small subunit ribosomal RNA
Source: RNAcentral